Legionella feeleii is the source of this 157-nucleotide non-coding RNA. Lineage: Bacteria; Pseudomonadati; Pseudomonadota; Gammaproteobacteria; Legionellales; Legionellaceae. The record is from Rfam.
CCUAUGAUUCGGAUCAUAGUAGCCUAGUUCAUCCUGCGUUACUGGUAAGAGUUUCGUACGAAGAUCGAAUGACAAUGUACUGAAAUUUACUGACGUAAACGUCGUGAAUUUGCUGACAAGUAAAGCACGAAUCUGGAAGCCUCAUCCGGAAUAAGGC